This 205-nucleotide long non-coding RNA is filed under the name Prunus persica (peach). RNAcentral describes it as "long non-coding RNA (PPER_LNC000358)". The record is from RNAcentral. Lineage: Eukaryota; Viridiplantae; Streptophyta; Magnoliopsida; Rosales; Rosaceae.
GGGGUGUGUGGGUGUGGGGGGGAGUAUAAAAUAGGGGGAAACAAAAAACUGAGGAGGCUCAAUAUAUCCGUGCUCCCCUUCACCUUCACCUUCAUCCUCUUUCUCACCUUUUCUCUAUAUCCAGUCCAUACGCACUCACUCUUCCAGACAAUACACAGAAGUGGAGAAAGUCGAUCGGGUAAAUCUUGGAGGUAGGCAUCUCUAG